This 69-nucleotide transfer RNA is filed under the name Ogadenus brumpti. Its description in RNAcentral is "Argas brumpti tRNA-Lys". It matches the Rfam family "tRNA". Rfam says of the family: Transfer RNA (tRNA) molecules are approximately 80 nucleotides in length. Their secondary structure includes four short double-helical elements and three loops (D, anti-codon, and T loops). The record is from RNAcentral. Lineage: Eukaryota; Metazoa; Arthropoda; Arachnida; Ixodida; Argasidae.
UUAUUGAAUGGCUGAAAAGAAAGCAAUGGUCUCUUAAACCACUUAUAGUACUCGUAUACUUUCAAUAAA